Cercocebus atys (sooty mangabey) is the source of this 1041-nucleotide RNA transcript. It is a transcript of the gene named charged multivesicular body protein 4b pseudogene, with no coding region annotated. The record is from RefSeq and is a predicted model, not a curated record. Lineage: Eukaryota; Metazoa; Chordata; Mammalia; Primates; Cercopithecidae. The transcript is spliced from 2 exons.
AUGAAACUGCUGAUAUUGAGAGUUAGUCAACCUUCUCUUGAAGAUGAAAGAAUCUUGGCAAGAUACUAUGUAAUGCAACUGAAGGGGGUCCAAAAUGGACACUUGCAUGUGUUUUUCCCAAGUGGUAGCCAUUCUGGGGCCGGCUACAUGGCUCUCUGGGGUGGCGAAGGCUGGCGCGGCGAGCAGCAACCGUGUAGGUGUUUCGGACACUGUUCGGGACUGGAGGCGGGUAAGGCCGGCAAGGGCGGCCCGAUCCCGCAGGAGGCCAUCCAGCGGCUGCAGGACACGAAGGAGAUGUUAAGCAAGAAACAGGAGUUCCUGGAGAAGAAAAUCGAGCAGGAGCUGACUGCUGCCAAGAAGCAGGGCACCAAAAACAAGCGUGCGGCCCUCCAGGCACUGAAGCGUAAGAAGAGGUAUGAGAAGCAGCUGGCGCAGAUCGACGGCACAUUAUCAACCAUCGAGUUCCAGCGGCAGGCCCUGGAGAAUGCCAACACCAACAACGAGGUGCUCAAGAACAUGGGCUGUGCCGCCAAGGCCAUGAAGGCGGCACAUGACAACAUGGACAUCGAUAAAGUUGAUGAGUUAACGCAGGACAUUGCUGACCAGCAAGAAUUUGCGGAGGAGAUUUCAACAGCAAUUUCGAAACCUGUAGGGUUUGGAGAGAAGUUUGACGAGGAUGAGCUCAUGGUGGAAUUAAGAACUAGAACAGGAGGAACUAGACAAAAAUUUGCUGGAAAUCAGUGGACCCGAAACAGUCCCUCUACCAAGUGUUCCCUCUAUAGCCCUACCAUCAAAACCCGCCAAGAAGAAAGAAGAGGAAGACGACGACAUGAAGGAUUUGGAGAAGUGGGCUGGGUCCAGCGCGGGCUGGGCCAGGUUUCUGAUGGCCUGCGCAGCGAGCAGGCGUGUGCAUGUGCGCGGCAGGCAGGAUGGAUGUGGUGCAGGCAAGUUCCAUCGCUCUCGACUCUCACUCCAAAGCACUGGGAUCGCAUUGCUGCUCGCUCUCUGCAUAGCAUGAUCUGCACCUGGUGGGACGGGCGG